ACUCCGAAACGGCAUUGGAAACUGCCUUGCUUGAGGGUUGGAGGGGGGAUUGGAAUUCUCGGUGUAGCAGUGAAAUGCGUAGAUAUCGAGAGGAACACCAGUGGCGAAGGCGAGUCCCUGGACAACUCCUGACACUGAGGCACGAAAGCCAGGGGAGCAAACAGGAUUAGAUACCCUGGUAGUCCUGGCUGUAAACGGUGCACGUUUGGUGUGGGAGGAUUCGACCCCUUCUGCGCCGGAGCUAACGCGUUAAACGUGCCGCCUGGGGAGUACGGUCGCAAGAUUAAAACUCAAAGAAAUUGACGGGGGCCCGCACAAGCGGUGGAGUAUGUGGCUCAAUUCGAUGCAACGCGAAGAACCUUACCAGGCCUUGACAUGCAUCUCUAAGUUGGUGAAAGCCAGCGAGUCCCG
Molecule: ribosomal RNA, 411 nt
Filed under: uncultured bacterium
Lineage: Bacteria
Description: bacterial SSU rRNA
Rfam family: Bacterial small subunit ribosomal RNA
Source: RNAcentral